GGGGGGGUUGUGUUUGUGUCAAUGGAACUUCUUCUCCUUUAUAUUGCUGGUUUACUCAUUCGUUUUCUUUCAUUUAUUAUAUUGGCUGCAAUAUGUCUUAAUCUCAAAUUUUAUUGAUUAACUGAUCCUUUAAUUGUUAUAGGGUGAACUGGAUUGUCCGUUCUACCUGAAAACUGGCAGGUGUGAAUUUGCCUAUUAAUGCAGAAAUUUUUAUUAUAAACUAAUUGAAAUGACCAAAGAGUGCUGUUAUUUAUAUAUUUAUUUACUUUUGCAAUCAGUUGCAAGUAUGGUGCCACUUGUCG
Molecule: unclassified non-coding RNA, 302 nt
Filed under: Hevea brasiliensis (rubber tree)
Lineage: Eukaryota; Viridiplantae; Streptophyta; Magnoliopsida; Malpighiales; Euphorbiaceae
Source: RNAcentral